RNAcentral lists this long non-coding RNA (869 nucleotides) under Homo sapiens (human). RNAcentral's name for it is "HSALNT0335862". Lineage: Eukaryota; Metazoa; Chordata; Mammalia; Primates; Hominidae. The record is from RNAcentral.
AUACUGAAACCGAGUAGGGGAGAAAAGUCCAUUUCAAAAAUCAAUCGAUCAGUAAGAGAAAACAAACAAACAAAAAACAGCCUUUAUUUACUCUACAAGCACCCUUAAGGUCUCAUUGUCCUGAGGUCGUCAAAAUAACCGUUGCUUUGGCAUCAUGGCUGUGCACACCUAACUUGGAAUUACUUAAUUCAUUAUGAUGCUUCCAAAGAAAAUCCUUUUGGUUGAUGAAAGCAGGAGAUAAAGAUAAUAAUGGCAACCAUCGACUGAAGUACUAGGCACUGAAUGAAGUGCCUCAUAUGAACUAUCCACUUAGCUCCUGCAGUAAACCCUUAAUGGCGCUAUUAGUAUCCCCAGUUUAGGGAUAGAGAAGCUAACGCUCAGAGAGAGAAAGUGAUUUGCCCAAAGCCACAGUGUUAGCAGGUGACACAACCAAGAUUCAGACCCAGGUUCUUCGUCUACCCUAACAGUAUUGCCAAAGAGAGAUUCCAAAGUUACCGCCUGGCCACUGGGUAAACCUCCGCAGCAGAGAGACCUACUUUAUGUUUCAUUUUCAAGCUCCUAUGGAGCCCAGCAGAGAGAGCUGACAAGGAGGAAUACUGCGAGGGGCUCACAGACUAAGACAAUCUGCUGGGAAAUUAGGAGUUUGAAACAUCCAACUAAGAAGCCUAAGGUUUAGACUGCAUCAUAUUCUAAUAACAACAGGAUUAUAAUAUCAAAUGAGACUCUCUGACCCUGCAAAUCUGGAACCAGCUGUAUAGGGACUUUGAACCUCCCUUUUCUCCAAUCUGCUGGUGUUUGUCAUCCUAAUAUAUACCUCAUAUUUUCUUUCUGAAAAUAAUUUUUAAAAUAUACCCAUCAUACAUACGGCA